AAAAACACAAAGAGAUAUGUAAUAGCCAAACCAAAUCUCUAUUGUCUGUUUCCAUAAAACGCAUAAGCUCACCUUAAGUUGGUUAAGCUCGAUAACUUGAUAGAAACACAUUUAAUUUAUAACAUACAACCAAAGCUACCGCUGUACCCCUAUUCUUUUCUAUUUCGCAAUAGGUUUGAGUUGGCUAUUACAUAUCUCUUUGUGUUUUU
This 209-nucleotide unclassified non-coding RNA is filed under the name Hevea brasiliensis (rubber tree). The record is from RNAcentral. Lineage: Eukaryota; Viridiplantae; Streptophyta; Magnoliopsida; Malpighiales; Euphorbiaceae.